RNAcentral lists this ribosomal RNA (465 nucleotides) under uncultured bacterium. Its description in RNAcentral is "partial 16S ribosomal RNA". It matches the Rfam family "Bacterial small subunit ribosomal RNA", at positions 28 to 507 of the family's 1533-position model. The record is from RNAcentral.
GACGAACGCUGGCGGCGUGCUUAACACAUGCAAGUCGAACGGAAAGGCCCCUUUGGGGGUACUCGAGUGGCGAACGGGUGCGUAACACGUGAGUAACCUGCCCUUGCCUUCGGGAUAACUUCAGGAAACUGGGGCUAAUACCGGAUAGGAAUCCUUGCUGCAUGGUGGGGGUUGGAAAGCUUCGGCGGUUUUGGAUGGACUCGCGGCUUAUCAGCUUGUUGGUGGGGUAGUGGCUUACCAAGGCUUUGACGGGUAGCCGGCCUGAGAGGGCGACCGGCCACAUUGGGACUGAGAGACGGCCCAGACUCCUACGGGAGGCAGCAGUGGGGAAGAUUGCACAAGCGGCGGAAGCCUGAUGCAGCAACGCCGCGUGCGGGAUGACGGCCUUCGGGUUGUAAACCGAUUUCAGCAGGGGCGAAGCUUGUGGUGACGGUACCUGCAGAAGAAGCACCGGCUAACUACGUG